Molecule: ribosomal RNA, 450 nt
Filed under: uncultured bacterium
Lineage: Bacteria
Description: partial 16S ribosomal RNA
Rfam family: Bacterial small subunit ribosomal RNA
Source: RNAcentral
CCUACGGGUGGCUGCAGUGGGGAAUAUUGGACAAUGGGCGCAAGCCUGAUCCAGCAAUGCCGCGUGUGUGAAGAAGGCCUGCGGGUUGUAAAGCACUUUCAGUGGGGAGGAAGGCCUCGAUAUUAAUACUAUUGAGGAUUGACGUUACCCACAGAAGAAGCACCGGCUAACUCUGUGCCAGCAGCCGCGGUAAUACAGAGGGUGCAAGCGUUAAUCGGAAUUACUGGGCGUGGAUGCUGCAGUCAGAGGUGAAAGCCCCGGGCUCAACCUGGGAAUUGCAUUUGAUACUGAGGAACUUGAGUAUGGUAGAGGGAAGUGGAAGUUCCAGUGGAGCGGUGAAAUGCGUAGAUAUUGGAAGGAACAUCAGUGGCGAAGGCGACUUCCUGGACCAUUACUGACACUGAGGCACGAAAGCGUGGGGAGCGAACAGGAUUAGAUACCCUAGUAGUC